This 489-nucleotide ribosomal RNA is filed under the name uncultured bacterium. Its description in RNAcentral is "bacterial SSU rRNA". It matches the Rfam family "Bacterial small subunit ribosomal RNA", at positions 21 to 507 of the family's 1533-position model. The record is from RNAcentral.
GGCUCAGGAUUAACGCUAGCGGCAGGCAUAAUACAUGCAAGUUGAACGAGAUUAGUUUAGCAAUAGAACUAGUUAGUGGCGCACGGGUGCGUAACGCGUAUGCAACCUACCUUAAACAGGGGAAUAGCCUCUCGAAAGGGAGAUUAAUACCGCAUAAGACAGUAGCUGGGCAUCCAGCAGCUGUUAAAGAUUUAUCGAUGUAAGAUGGGCAUGCGUCCAAUUAGUUAGUUGGCGAGGUAAUGGCUCACCAAGACUUUGAUUGGUAGGGGAACUGAGAGGUCAAUCCCCCACACUGGCACUGAGAUACGGGCCAGACUCCUACGGGAGGCAGCAGUAGGGAAUAUUGGGCAAUGGAAGCAAUUCUGACCCAGCCAUGCCGCGUGAAGGAAGAAGGUCCUCUGGAUUGUAAACUUCUUUUAUCGGGGAAGAAGAAUCGCCUUGCGAGGUGAAGUGACGGUACCCGAUGAAUAAGCCACGGCUAACUACGUG